Molecule: ribosomal RNA, 459 nt
Filed under: uncultured bacterium
Lineage: Bacteria
Description: partial 16S ribosomal RNA
Rfam family: Bacterial small subunit ribosomal RNA
Source: RNAcentral
CUACGGGGGGCAGCAGUGAGGAAUAUUGGACAAUGGGCGCAAGCCUGAUCCAGCCAUGCCGCGUGCAGGAAGACGGUCCUAUGGAUUGUAAACUGCUUUUGUGCAGGAAGAAACACUCGUACGUGUACGAGCUUGACGGUACUGUAAGAAUAAGGAUCGGCUAACUCCGUGCCAGCAGCCGCGGUAAUACGGAGGAUCCAAGCGUUAUCCGGAAUCAUUGGGUUUAAAGGGUCCGUAGGCGGAUUUAUAAGUCAGUGGUGAAAUCUCCCCGCUCAACGGGGAAACUGCCAUUGAUACUGUAGAUCUUGAAUGAUUAGGAAGUAACUAGAAUAUGUAGUGUAGCGGUGAAAUGCUUAGAUAUUACAUGGAAUACCAAUUGCGAAGGCAGGUUACUACUAAUUUAUUGACGCUGAUGGACGAAAGCGUGGGGAGCGAACAGGAUUAGAUACCCUGGUAGUC